This 1372-nucleotide ribosomal RNA is filed under the name uncultured bacterium. RNAcentral describes it as "bacterial SSU rRNA". It matches the Rfam family "Bacterial small subunit ribosomal RNA", at positions 28 to 1381 of the family's 1533-position model. The record is from RNAcentral.
GAUAAACGCUGGCGGCGUGCCUAAUACAUGCAAGUCGAGCGAACGGACGAGAAGCUUGCUUCUCUGAUGUUAGCGGCGGACGGGUGAGUAACACGUGGAUAACCUACCUAUAAGACUGGGAUAACUUCGGGAAACCGGAGCUAAUACCGGAUAAUAUUUUGAACCGCAUGGUUCAAAAGUGAAAGACGGUCUUGCUGUCACUUAUAGAUGGAUCCGCGCUGCAUUAGCUAGUUGGUAAGGUAACGGCUUACCAAGGCAACGAUGCAUAGCCGACCUGAGAGGGUGAUCGGCCACACUGGAACUGAGACACGGUCCAGACUCCUACGGGAGGCAGCAGUAGGGAAUCUUCCGCAAUGGGCGAAAGCCUGACGGAGCAACGCCGCGUGAGUGAUGAAGGUCUUCGGAUCGUAAAACUCUGUUAUUAGGGAAGAACAUAUGUGUAAGUAACUGUGCACAUCUUGACGGUACCUAAUCAGAAAGCCACGGCUAACUACGUGCCAGCAGCCGCGGUAAUACGUAGGUGGCAAGCGUUAUCCGGAAUUAUUGGGCGUAAAGCGCGCGUAGGCGGUUUUUUAAGUCUGAUGUGAAAGCCCACGGCUCAACCGUGGAGGGUCAUUGGAAACUGGAAAACUUGAGUGCAGAAGAGGAAAGUGGAAUUCCAUGUGUAGCGGUGAAAUGCGCAGAGAUAUGGAGGAACACCAGUGGCGAAGGCGACUUUCUGGUCUGUAACUGACGCUGAUGUGCGAAAGCGUGGGGAUCAAACAGGAUUAGAUACCCUGGUAGUCCACGCCGUAAACGAUGAGUGCUAAGUGUUAGGGGGUUUCCGCCCCUUAGUGCUGCAGCUAACGCAUUAAGCACUCCGCCUGGGGAGUACGACCGCAAGGUUGAAACUCAAAGGAAUUGACGGGGACCCGCACAAGCGGUGGAGCAUGUGGUUUAAUUCGAAGCAACGUGAAGAACCUUACCAAAUCUUGACAUCCUUUGACAACUCUAGAGAUAGAGCCUUCCCCUUCGGGGGACAAAGUGACAGGUGGUGCAUGGUUGUCGUCAGCUCGUGUCGUGAGAUGUUGGGUUAAGUCCCGCAACGAGCGCAACCCUUAAGCUUAGUUGCCAUCAUUAAGUUGGGCACUCUAAGUUGACUGCCGGUGACAAACCGGAGGAAGGUGGGGAUGACGUCAAAUCAUCAUGCCCCUUAUGAUUUGGGCUACACACGUGCUACAAUGGACAAUACAAAGGGCAGCGAAACCGCGAGGUCAAGCAAAUCCCAUAAAGUUGUUCUCAGUUCGGAUUGUAGUCUGCAACUCGACUACAUGAAGCUGGAAUCGCUAGUAAUCGUAGAUCAGCAUGCUACGGUGAAUACGUUCCCGGGUCU